AACGGAGGGGGCGAGCGUUAUUCAUCGUUAUUGGGCGUAAAGGGUAUGUAGGCGACUUAGUAUGUUUUAGUUGUAAAAAACCAAAUUUUUUGCGUGGUACAGACUAUAACAUGAAGUUAAGAAAACUACAAGGUUGGCAGAAUUACUAAUGUAGAGGUAAAAAUUCGGAAAAUAUUAGUAGGAAUACCAAAGGCGAAAGCAGCUUUCUUGUGUUUUUGACGCUGAUGUACUAAAGCAUGGGGAUCAAACAGG
This 252-nucleotide ribosomal RNA is filed under the name uncultured bacterium. RNAcentral describes it as "partial 16S ribosomal RNA". It matches the Rfam family "Bacterial small subunit ribosomal RNA", at positions 524 to 776 of the family's 1533-position model. The record is from RNAcentral.